GACGAACGCUGGCGGCGUGCCUAAUACAUGCAAGUAGAACGCAGUUGAGAACGGGUGCGUAACGCGUAGGUAACUGCCUCAUCGCGGGGGAUAACUAUUGAUAACGCUAGCUAAUAGCUCAUACUGUGAGAUGGACCUGCGUUGUAUUGGCUAGUUGGUGAGGUAAAGGCUCACCAAGGCGACGAUCCAUAGCCGACCUGAGAGGGUGAUCGGCCACACUGGGACUGAGAAACGGCCCAGACUCCUACGGGAGGCAGCAGUAGGAAUCUUUGGCAAAUGGAGGAAGGUUGGCCGGAGAACGCCGGGGGGAGUAAGAAGGUUUUUGGGUCCGUAAGCUCUGUUUGUUGGGAAGCGGUAUCUAACCAGAAAGCGACGGCUAACUACGUGCCAGCAGCCGCGGUAAUUC
Molecule: ribosomal RNA, 406 nt
Filed under: uncultured bacterium
Lineage: Bacteria
Description: partial 16S ribosomal RNA
Rfam family: Bacterial small subunit ribosomal RNA
Source: RNAcentral